AUAGCCCAGGGAAACCUGGAUUAAUACCGGAUGAGACGGGACCCGCGAAGGCGGGACCCGGGAAAGGCGCUGCGGCGCCGCCGGGGGAUGAGUCUGCGUCCCAUUAGCUAGACGGCGGGGUAACGGCCCACCGUGGCGACGAUGGGUAGCCGGCCUGAGAGGGUGGACGGCCACAUUGGAACUGAGACACGGUCCAGACUCCUACGGGAGGCAGCGGCUAAGAAUCUUCCGCAAUGGGCGAAAGCCUGACGGAGCGACGCCCGCGUGAACGAAGAAGGCCGUGAAGGUUGUAAAGUUCUUUUCGGGAGGGGGAACAACCGUGGCAGGGAAUGGCCGCGGGAUGACGUGAAUCCCGGAAUAAGCCCCGGCUAACUACGUGCCAGCAGCCGC
This 390-nucleotide ribosomal RNA is filed under the name uncultured bacterium. RNAcentral describes it as "bacterial SSU rRNA". It matches the Rfam family "Bacterial small subunit ribosomal RNA", at positions 143 to 518 of the family's 1533-position model. The record is from RNAcentral.